This 264-nucleotide ribosomal RNA is filed under the name uncultured bacterium. Its description in RNAcentral is "partial 16S ribosomal RNA". It matches the Rfam family "Bacterial small subunit ribosomal RNA", at positions 793 to 1055 of the family's 1533-position model. The record is from RNAcentral.
GUCCACGCCGUAAACGAUGACUGCUAGGUGUCGGGUGGCAAAGCCAUUCGGUGCCGCAGCUAACGCAAUAAGCAGUCCACCUGGGGAGUACGUUCGCAAGAAUGAAACUCAAAGGAAUUGACGGGGGACCCGCACAAGCGGUGGAGCAUGUGGUUUAAUUCGAAGCAACGCGAAGAACCUUACCUGAUCUUGACAUCCCGAUGACCGCUUCGUAAUGGAAGCUUUUCUUCGGAACAUCGGUGACAGGUGGUGCAUGGUUGUCGU